Molecule: ribosomal RNA, 1335 nt
Filed under: Triticum aestivum (bread wheat)
Lineage: Eukaryota; Viridiplantae; Streptophyta; Magnoliopsida; Poales; Poaceae
Description: partial small subunit ribosomal RNA
Source: RNAcentral
AUGUGCGCCACUUGUCGUGACCUGGGAAGAUGGAGUGUUCUUUGCAACGAGUGCUCCUUAAUUAGUGAUUUCGGACUUCGAGAGAUGCGUAGAAGAAGACCAGGGCGCUCAUGGGCCUGCUCGGAUGGGCAAGUGGGCCAUAAUGGAAUUGCUUCUUCCAAAAAUCAUGACGUGGCCGCGAAGGAUAGAAGAACGGCUCAAUAUGUGCGCUCCUGCGACCUGCCUCAUCCCCUCCGCCUACCACCGCCACCAUCACCGCCUCCACCGCUCGCCGCGCCGCUCGCCGUCGUCGCCGCCACACCUUCUACCCCGCAUCGAGAGAGAGUGCCUCCGACUGCGCCCACCCUAUGGCGCGGGAGAGGGCACUCCGAGAUCUCGAGAGGGAAGAGGAGUGGAGGCGAGGCAUCGAGAGCGCAUGGAGCGGUCGAUGCGCCGCCCGCUGAGGGGCGAUUCGACCCAGAAGCUCAUCAACAGGAUCUGUGUAGAGGCCACUCCGGAGGAAUUAGAGCAGCUGUUACCAGGGAGAUCGACCUCGCCGGAGAAAAUCGUCAGAUGGGCGCGUGCGGAGAUGAAUUCGUCAGAUCCGGAGCAGCGGGCGAGAUGGAGGGCAUUCUGGUCCCUCCAGCCGCCGUCCCGCUGAACCUACACGGCGCUCCGAGGGGAUCGACCGGGGAGGCUCGCCGUGGAUGCGUGCCAGAGUAUCCGCUGGAGUCGGGUUUGGAUUCCCCUCUCCGUAGAGCUGCACACCAGUCCCCGUCGCAGCUGAGGAAUCUGACUAGCAAGAGAGCUGCCGCCCGCCACUUCCGAGCUCGCCAGACAGUGCAGAUCACCGUCGUCGGUGAGAUCCCCUACUUCAUCAAUGAUGGAAAAAGUUCAGAGGACCUGCUGGAUUUUGGGAGUGCAGAGCAGCUGGAAAAGAGGAGGGAAAAUUCAAAUCAGGCUGAGCUGGAAAGCGUGCCAGGAGAAGAUGAGGAAGAGGGCCUGAGUGAGAUUUUUGGACAAUUGUGGAUCGAUGAGGAAAUUGUUAACCCUAACGCAGCUACAAAAUCCCACCCCGUCCUCGUGUGGGUAAGAAGAGAUCUCAUCCCCACGCGUAGCUUCACCACCGCCGACUGCUACCCUGCCCAGAACCAAAUCGAGGAAGGGAUUGAUCGCAGCAGAGUGAGAUUCAUCUCAAUUUCUCGGGGCGGGUGGGCAGGAUCACCCCCAGAUCUUGCCAAACUCAGAGCUAUGGCAGAUCGCGGGAGAGGGAGAGGGAGAGGGCAAGGGCAUGAGAAGAGAUCGGGGGACAGAUCCCAGAACAGCAACGCGGAGGGUGGCAAUCAGGGGCAAUGA